This 484-nucleotide ribosomal RNA is filed under the name uncultured bacterium. RNAcentral describes it as "partial 16S ribosomal RNA". It matches the Rfam family "Bacterial small subunit ribosomal RNA", at positions 30 to 507 of the family's 1533-position model. The record is from RNAcentral.
AUUGAACGCUGGCGGCAGGCCUAACACAUGCAAGUCGAGCGGAUGAAGGGAGCUUGCUCCUGGAUCCAGCGGCGGACGGGUGAGUAAUGCCUAGGAAUCUGCCUGGUAGUGGGGGAUAACGUCCGGAAACGGGCGCUAAUACCGCAUACGUCCUGAGGGAGAAAGUGGGGGAUCUUCGGACCUCACGCUAUCAGAUGAGCCGAGGUCGGAUUAGCUAGUUGGUGGGGUAAAUGCCUACCAAGGCGACGAUCCGUAACUGGUCUGAGAGGAUGAUAAGUCACACUGGAACUGAGACACGGUCCAGACUCCUACGGGAGGCAGCAGUGGGGAAUAUUGGACAAUGGGCGAAAGCCUGAUCCAGCCAUGCCGAGUGUGUGAAGAAGGUCUUCGGAUUGUAAAGAACUUUAAGUUGGGAGGAAGGGCAGUAAGUUAAUACCUUGCUGUUUUGACGUUACCAACAGAAUAAGCACCGGCUAACUUCGUG